Molecule: ribosomal RNA, 157 nt
Filed under: Castanediella sp.
Lineage: Eukaryota; Fungi; Ascomycota; Sordariomycetes; Amphisphaeriales; Castanediellaceae
Description: partial large subunit ribosomal RNA
Source: RNAcentral
GGUGCACUUCGCUAGGUUGAGGCCAGCAUCGGUUUCCGUAGGGGGAUAAAAGCUUUAGGAAUGUGGCUCUUCGGAGUGUUAUAGCCUAUUGUAUAAUACCUUUAUGGGGACCGAGGUACGCGCUCUGCAAGGAUGCUGGCGUAAUGGUCAUCAACGA